CCGGUGCUCGCGGCUGCCUGCGGGCCCGCGGGGGCCGCGGGGCUGCGCUCCCCCGGGCUCGUCUCGCGGCUGCCCCACGCCCGCCGGGCCGCGGGCCGGAGCGCGGAGAGGAGGCCCGCGGCGCUGCAGGACGCUGUGAGUGAGAGCGGCCGGCACCGGAGGACCCCGCGAAGCGACCUCACGCCCCGGGAGGGUUUGCUUCCCCGGUGCGGAGGAGAAGCGACCGACCCACGGCACUGCGUUCGUUUUCAGCGUGCAGCGUGAUGAUCUGAUAUUCGUGCCUGUUGUGCCUGUGUGGGACGAUCGACACAGGAGGGAGGGUAUGCAUCUUCCUGUUUUGCAGAUGAGGGUGCUCAGAAGCUCGGAAGCUCGGAAGCUCGUGAGCAGCAAGGCCCAGGCUGAAAUCUGGGGCUAUUCAUUGCAAAUUUCACACUCCUACCAGGCUGGCUGGACUGCUGCCCCUGGAACAUCCCUAGAACCGAGUCACACAGAGAGAGAGAGAGGCAGAGACACAGGCAGAGGGAGAAGCAGGCUCCAUGCACCGGAAGCCCGACGUGGGAUUCGAUCCCGGGUCUCCAGCAUCGUGCCCUGGGCCAAAGGCAGGCGCCAAACCACUGCGCCACCCAGGGAUCCCUACUUCCGUCUUUAAAUGAAGAAGAGAAGGCUUCAUCAGUCAACAGCCAGUGAGAGAAUGAAAGAUCCACACAGAGAGAGAGAGAGGCAGAGGGAGAAGCAGGCUCCAGGCACCGGGAGCCCGACGUGGGAUUCGAUCCCGGGUCUCCAGGAUCGCGCCCUGGGCCAAAGGCAGGCGCCAAACCGCUGCGCCACCCAGGGAUCCCGAUAAAAGACUUUCUUAAGAAGAUGCCAAAAUCCUUCUCACCAACACCGACACUGAGACCAUCGCCUGGUGAGUGCCAGUGCACCAGGUAAACCCCUGCUUCUCCGUUUCAGGGACUGUGGACUCACACAGACUCAAGUUUGAUUCUCGGCUUUGCCCUUGUGAGCUGUCAGCUCCUGUCAACUUGGUCUCUGUAAACCCGUUACCUAAGAUAUAAAGGGUGCUGCUUGACAUGUCUUGUAGGAUACAGAAACAAAUACGGCCAGAAUGCUGUGCUAUACAGAAGGAUUCAUUAUAUAGCUGUUUCUUCACCUUGCCUCCUCUCUCCUCUUCUCCUAUUCUGAGUAGAUAUUAAUGUUUUUGACUCCAGUCAAUCCUAUUUCAAGUGGGGCUCGGCAGACAGCUGCAGACUGACCUUGCCUCCAAGAGCAUUUUUUCAACUAAAGUUUCUGGAAAGAAUACCAGCUGUCGCUCCAUUCUGUUUUUGUUGGCCAAAAUUUUUAAGUUUCAAGAUAUUUUACCUUUCCCAGGCACACAGUGAGAGAGAGAGAGAGAGACACAGGCAGAGGGAGAAGCAGGCUCCAUGCACCGGGAGCCCGACGUGGGAUUCGAUCCCGGGUCUCCAGGAUCGCGCCCUGGGCCAAAGGCAGGCGCCAAACCGCUGCGCCACCCAGGGAUCCCCCCUAUCCAUCUCUUGAUAAAGUGUUUAGUACUUCAACAAGUAAUGAUUCAAAUUAGAUGAAAAAUUGUCUCUUGGAUUACAUUUUAAAGAAGACUCCAGGGUGUGAAUCAUGGGGUAGUAAGUCCUGCUUAAAGCAUGAUCUAGGACAAGCGCCAAGCCUCCGGGAGGCCAUUAGGAACCAAUGCCCUGUGUGGCAGCGCUCGUAGCCUAGAGGCUUGUCUAUCUCGUGUGAAAUUCCGAGUACAUUUCCAAAGCCCUGAAAAUGAAAAAGAGCAUACAGCCACAUCCUGGAAGUGCUUCUCUAAAUCGGCCCCUUAACCAGAGUCCCAGUGCCCCUGUGCCUGUCGCUGGAGGCUGGGAGCGCGUCCUCUCCCGCCCACGGCCCCUGGCCCCUCGGGGCUGCUGCAGCCCGGGGCCUGACCUCCCUGCACCUGCUCGCUCGCCUGCUGCACACUGGUGCAGCUCAAGGCCGCGCCUGGUCCAGGUUGGAGGAAGCCGGUGCUUCAACAGCAGAGUGUUUGAAGGUGUGACGACCAGUUUCUUAGUAACGGAAGCUGGUCUGCUCAACUUAAUAUUUCAUUAAAACAUUUGCUCCCACGUACUUGUUUUGAGAGAGGACUCCUCCCCCCUCUGGAAUGCUUAAUCUGCGGCUGAUCCGCAGAGCUGAGGUGAGAGGUCGCUCUAGGGCACGGCGGACAAAGGGGGGGGGGGGCUUCCGCGCCACCUCCCGGACGCCGCCUGCAGUCAGCGGCCCAGCCAGGCCUCGGGAGUCCCGCGACAGAAGCGCCUCUGCUCGCUCUGGGCCACCGUCAAUCCUGGUGUGAAAGGGAAGCGAUGGGCGUGCAGUGCAAGGGGAGAGACGUAGUUGUUUCACUUAAAGCAAAGAAGCCCGGUUGGAAGUAAGUUCAGCUUUUCUCAAGAUUUCAAGAAUGUCGGGUAGAAUCUCUUAGAACAGACACUAUUGCAACAGUUCCUUGUAAGUUCCCAGUUUCUACUUUUGACCACUUUUUUUUCUUUUUUUGGCCUGUUUUUUGUUUUUACUGGAGGCUCAGGUGGCACAUGACAGUUCAUAAAUGGCUUCAGAGGUAGGGGCUGGGGCUGGGGGAGGGGAGACAAAAAAUAACUGGGGUGGGAAAGAAAACCAGGAGGAGGUAAGAGCUGGCUGGUUCCUUCUCAGCCUGAUUUAGGGGAAGGAGCUGGUGCCUCUGAACAAUAGGAUGGAUCCCUUCCUUCACCCCUUGGUAGGGGAGAGAGAAAAAGCAAAAGGCUGUUGCUUCGGCCCUCCUGAGUCUCAAGGAAAAGGGGAAAGCCGGUGUUCCGAUGUCAUGAAUUCUGGGAAGGGGGAGGGGGUGCUGGGUCGGGUAGAGGGCAGCCUCUAAAAAGUCAGGAUUCUCAGGGAUGUCCUUUUCCUAAGACACUAAGUUGAAUCUUUUGUUUAGACAAAGGGUUACUAGCCUCCUUUGCUGUUGGUGGAUAACACGAUGUAUUGUAGUUGCAAACCGUGAGUCUCUAGGACUCAGAAUUUCUAUGAAAGUACCUUAUCACUUCUGCAAAUUGGGAAAUCAGCCAAAGGGGUGUGCGUGAAUCCGAGUGCUGGCGACACUGUGGGAGGUGAGCUUGUCGCAGCGGGCUCUGCACCCCUGGGGGUGGAGUCUGAGCCCCUGGGGUGGAACCUCGAGCCCCUGGGGGUGGAGCCCAGAGCCUCUGAGGGUGGAGCUCGGAGCCCCUGAGGUGAAGUCCGAGUCCUUGCGGGUGCUCACCUUACCCUGCACCCAGGAGGACAGGGACUAGAGAAAGAAGACACAUUGCAAAUGGAAUUGACAGUCUGGCAGCUGACAGGGCAGCAGAUGAGGGCAAGUAAAAGUCAAAUGUGAGGCCAAGGCCUUGGUGCCCAGAGCACCUGCUACAGGGCUAGACCCCAGGAUCCUGGUUCCCUUUGGCCAGCAGGAUAUGACACAUCCCAGUACUGACAGGGCUGGGAUGAUUAGACCAGGCUUUUUCAGGCAAGUCAAACCCCCAUCCCAGGCUUCCGCACAUCCUUGAAAAGCACGCUAGAUCCUCUCCCAUCCAUUAAAGACCCUCCCUCCAAAUCCCUCCCUCUUUCCUUUAGAAACAAAGGUCCCAUUUCCUCCUCCUCCUCCUCUGGGCCUUCCACGCCAGCCACAUGGCAGACUGCACCACCGAGGCCGCCAGAGACCCCGCAUGGCUCAGGGGAGCGGACACUCUUGAAUGACUCCUCAGCGUCACUCGUCACUCGCUGGAGGUGGCCCCUCCCUGUUGGCUUUUCCCUCCCCCCACUCCCCCCUUCCGCGUCUGAGGCGGUGGUUUUCGGUCCCUCGGUCUGCUCCGUGUCUGACUGUUGGCAGUCCCUCCUCACAGCGUCGUUGGCUGCUCUUCUCAGUUGCACCCUCAGCCGUCAGUGCACUUACCUGCUCCCUCACUCCCUCAGCUUUAAAUGCCAUCAGAGUACUGUCAGGACCCAAAUGUAUGGCCCCAGACCUCUUAUUUGAGCCCCAGGCUCACACCCUGCUGCCUCCUCCACUCUCUGCUUGGAUAUUUUGGAGACGGUUCAAACUUAGCAUGCCCACGUUUUCCUCCUCUUCCCCCGCCCCCCUAGUUUGCUCCCCAUUUCUCAUGAUACAGGUGAAGCAGCUGUUCUUAACAUUUUCCUCUCCCUCUUACCCAGUUCAUUAACAAGUCCUACUGAUUCCACUUCCAAAAUCCGUGUUACCACCAUCCACCCUGUUCUGUUUCCACUGCCACCACAGUGACCAAGAAACCUUUCUUUUUUUUUUUUUUUCCUGGACUAUUGCAUUAGCAUCCUAACUCAGUCCCCACCUGGUCUUUCUUCCCAACUUCUUCCCCAUCCACUCUCAUCCACAAAGAAACCGGAGAAAUUACUUUAAAAAGCAAAACUAAUCAUGCCACAGCCCUUAAAACCUCAAGAGAUCCCCAUGGCAUCAGAAAUGAAAUACCAAAUCCUUCACUAGUAUCUCAGGGGCUGAAAGUCUUCUCUUCCUGUGUAUGCAGCCUCUCCCUUAGCCACGUUCCCUGGGUUCACCGAACUUGAGUUAACACUAGCACCCCCUUGGUUCCUCAACACACCUUAGGGGUUUUACACAUGCUGUUCCCUCUACCUGGGGCUCUCUUCCUCAUACUCUUUGCCUGGCCAGCUGUGGCUCAUCCUUCAAGUUUCCACUUAAAUGUCAGAGAACUCCUCUGCUAUCCCUAACUCCUCUGCUACUCCCCACACCCAAUACCCUUAAUCUCUCAGCACACCUUUUGCUUUUUUUUGAGAGCCUUUAUCACAUUUUGCAAUUCUAAUUUAUUUAUGUGACUUUUUUGUUUAACAUCUGUUCCCCCGAUUACUCUGUGUGCUUUAUUCAUGCUCUUGGACACUUCUAUAUCCUGGCACAUUAUAGGCACAAAAAUGCUUUCAAUGAGUACGAGAAUAAAUGCUUACUGGUGUGGUUUCUGCCUCACCCCAAGGUUCUAGAAAUAAAUUCAUGUAUCUGAAUGGGUGGCAAGGGGCUCUAGAGUCGGUUUUGUUCAAAUAGCUAAACAUAAUUGGACAAUAUGUGGCAGUUCACAAUUUCAGAGAUGCAUUGCCCUCAAAUUGCAGAUUCAUAUUUAUCUCCAAAUAGUUGGUCUUUUGUCCCAAUCGCUCUUCCUAAUCUGGACACCUGCGAAAUGAAAGUAGACUCACAGAGUUAUUAUGAUUACGUUGCACCAAGAUAACCUGUGAGACUCUUCUUCUUGUUUUGAGUUUUCUCUUUAGAGCUAAACUAUUUCUUAUAGUUCUCUAGCUUUCAGUAAAAAAAAAAAAAAAAAAAAAAGUUUCACUAGAAGCAUUAAAAAAAACCAAACCUCCCAACAACAAUAAAAACCUUACUUGGAUCAUUGUAACUGACUUAAGGGCUCUUGGCAACCAAUCUUGUCUGGAUAUGCUCAUCUCUUACUCCCUGGCGGUGUACGGAGUGCUUCUGUGUACAUGGAUUGAUGUACAGCCAGGAAUUUAUGAAGCUUUAAAUCAUUCAUCCAAAAUAACACCUUCAAUUUAAAAUUGGACCAAAAGUAAAGGGAAGAGAUGACCCUAAACGGGGAACUUAGCGAUAAAGAAGAAAGGCCAAUGUCAUUACCAGGGAGGACGUUCCCAUUCAUAGAAGUAAUAGGCCCAUUAGAGUGGAGAUUAUACUUCCCUGCAAAGUAUGGCUCUCUGAGAGAUACCCUCCCACUGCCUCCCAUGCCUUUCCCUGCUCCCUGCUCCACUUUUAAGACAAUUGAACAACAACAACAAAAAAAAGACAAUUGAACAACAACAACAAAAAAAGACAAUUGAACAAAAUAAGGACUCCAAGACCACAAAUCAGGAAACCUAAUUUUAUCUAUGUCCGCAGCAACUGUCUUCUCUCCAGCAAGUUUUUUUUAAAUUUUUAUUUAUUUAUGAUAGUCAUACAGAGAGAGAGAGAGAGGCAGAGACAUAGGCAGAGGGAGAAGCAGGCUCCAUGCACCAGGAGCCCGACGUGGGAUUCGAUCCCGGGUCUCCAGGAUGGUGCCCCGGGCCAAAGGCAGGCACCAAACUGCUGCGCCACCCAGGGAUCCCUCCCCAGCAAGUUACCAGGGUCCUGGGCUUUGCCCUAGGCUGGGUCCCAGGACUAGUGCUGGCUGACCCUGCAGGACAGGAAAUGAAGAACAAAAGGCAGCAUCUAAGGACAAGGGUAGUAAGACAACUAAUAGAGACUUCAACAAUUGAACACUAAGGCUUGUGUGUUCUGGAGGGUGGCAGGGAGCAGAGCUGGAGAAGGCCCGAGGCACUGGAGCAGAAGUAGAGCCUGGGGCUCGAGGAUACCCAUGGCUGGUGUCCUCUCCCCCGAGGGGAUCUUCACUGUUUGACAUCAUUGUCAUCCCCACUAUUGCUCUCUCUGGCUGCCUCAGUUUCCUCAACUGUAAUAUGAAGGUAGUAGAUCCUCUUUGUUCUUCAGGGGGUUAUUCCUACAAUGGAGGAGUCAUUACUCAUGGUUUCCAUGCAUUUUAAGAGAUAGGUAACAGUUCUGGUCUGUGUCCCUGGUCCUAGAACCGCAGCAGGAGCCCAGGAAGGAUGAGCUCAGGAACGGAGCUGUCUGGGAACAUCCCUGGACAUUAGCCUUGGCCAUGCUGCUGCAGGCCGCUGGGGGCUUAGUCACCCCACAGGCACAUCUGUGUGGGCCAAGGACCGGAAAGGCCAGAUGGGCCCUCGGCUGCCUUAUCUACCUGGAGCUGAGAAUGAGCUACGGCUAGUGAAGGCCGAAGCAGCCCUGGGCCGAGCCCAUGCUCACAGAGCCACGGCAGCGGGGCUGGCCCGUUGUCCAGCCUAUUGAUCAGGAAUCAGGAAGAGCAGGGCUGCGGCAGCCUGGUGCCUGCGAUGCAUGCCCUGGGAAGGGAGAGGCUGCAAACCUAUUGCUGUUGGAAACGGCUCAGAGAAUGUGUUCAGGUGAACUUCCAGCUUCCCGGCUGCGGCAGGCCAGUGAGCUGUCUCUUUUCCACACAGGAGGGGCUGAUCACGCACUUGGAAGGGGCAGCUUCUUCACCGUCUCAUUUGCUCGGAGCUACUGGAAUAGCAAGUGCCUUUUUUUGGCUGGUUAGACUGUUUCAAAUGAAUCCCAGCAGAAAACUGAAAAGCGAGUGCUGUCUGUCCCUCCUCCAGCCCUCUCCGUGCUGCAGAGCCUUCUGGCCUCAAGCAGAACAGCUGCCAGGCUCUGGGUACCACCUGCUGGCAGCUCUCCAGGCUUCUGUGGAUCUGUAGCCUCCCAGCCCCAUCCCUUAUCCACACUCCCAUCAAGUGUGGGCAAUUCAUUAAAGAUCUUUCUCCAAGGUUUCUUAGUGACUCUGGAGCAGGUCACCAGAGGGUCAUCUUAAACAGGCAGUUUUUGUUAGUCCUGAUUCCGACAUGACUUUCUCUAGCUGUCACCUGGAGAAGUGGGGAAGGGAUCAGGGAGUGCUGAAAUAGGGAGACCAAAUAAUUGUUGGGUGGAGGGAGGCACCCACGAAGAGGUCAGGGUGGGGGCGGGGCUUCCUACUGAUCAUUUUCUUGCUUAAUUUUGCCUUGUGUCUCUCAAAUCUGAAACACAGGACUGGCCAGUUCCUAGAAAGGCCGUUGUUGCUGUGAUGUAACUUACUGCUUCAAAGACUCUUGGUUCAAGUUCAGUUUGAGCAGAAUCCAGCUGCUCAUCUGUUUGCUCUUAAAAGUGUCAUUUCCAUCUUGAUAUUUUUCAGUUUGAAGGAAAUAAAUUCUGGGUACCGAAGGCAGAUAAACAAGGGUGGCUUGCGUACAACUGCCUUGGCUCAAGUUCUAGGACAUUAUGAUUCUGCCUAAUAAAACCCACGGGCUGUUUUCAGCUACUAAAAUAAGAUAUUUGUUUUCCAUUUAAUCUCCUAUAAAGAAAUUUAGACAUACAUCUUUAUUUCCUUCAGAAUUUGUAUAUGAAGUUUAAUUGUAUGGUGCCUGCCAUAUUUUCAAAAACUGCUCACUCUCAUUGUGUCUAGUUGUUGGAUUCCCCCAAGUGUAGAAAUAAAUAGGGUCAGAAUUAUUUGGCUUUGGCACACCAGCAGAGCAUAUACUCAGUGGUGUCAACAGCAAAAAAAAAUUUUUUUUAAAGUCAUAAUGGCUCUUUUGGCAAAUGGCAGUCUCUUGAGUGACCUAAUGACCCUGCUCUGCUGAUCUGAAACCACACACCAGAAAAUAAAUAGGGAAGAAUCUUGGCUUUGACACAUGAUACCUAAAGGACAAUGAUUAACUUUAAAAAUUCAAAAAACUUCCUGUCUUCUUUCUUCAAAAAUUGGGUUUUAUUUAUCUUCUAUCAGAGAGAGAAAGCGAGCAGGGGGGAGGGGCAGAGGAAGAGGGACAAGCAGGGAGCUCAGCAGGGAGCCCAACAUGGGGCUAGAACCAAGGACGGGCUGGAUCCCAGAGGCUGGAUCCCAGAGGCUGGAUCCCAGGACCCUGGGAUCAUGACCUGCGCCGAAGGCAGUUGCUUAACUGACUGAGCCACCCGGGUGCCCCUUCAAAAAUUUUUAAAAACAGUUUUGUAGUGAAAGUGCUCUCUGCAAUGAGGCUUUUCCUACAGAGGAUGGUAUCACUGAGCCUGCCCACUCAGGGCCUUUCUCUAGGGACUCCCACCUGAACUUAAGAGGGCUGGUCAGGUCUUCCCUGGGGAGCUCCUAGCAGGUGGUUCUCACCCUCCUCAGUGUGUGCACUGUUCAGACAUGAAAGGAAACAGGCAGCAGAGUGUGUGCUCACUGGGCAGUGUGUUCAUGAACUUGAAAUUUCAUUUGUUCAUAGGACAGUUAGUACUGAGUGUCUAAUUGUUGAGUGCCAGACACUUUCUAAGCACUAGAGUUUUAUAGUUUUAGGUCUUAGAUCCUUUUUGAGUUAAUUUUUGUAUAUGGUGUAAGGUAAGGGUCAUUCUUUUGCACGUGGAUAUCCACUUUUCCCAAUAUCAGUUCUUGAAAAGAUUGUUUUUUUUUUUUUUCUCAUGGAAUAGUCUUGGCACUCUUAUCAAAAGUCACUGGACAUAUUUGCAAGGGUUUAUAUCUGGGCUAUUUUAUUCCAUUGGUCUAUAUGUCUAUCUUUAUGCCAGUACUACACUGUUUUAAUUACUGUAGCUUUGUAAUAAGUUUUGAAAUCAGGAACUGUGAGACCUCCAACUUUGUUCUUCUUUUUCAAGAUUGUUUUGCCUAUUCAGGAUCCCUUGAGUUUGAAUUUUAGAAAGGAUGUUGUUAUUUCUGCAAAAAAUGUCACCGGGAUUUUUAAAAAUCAUUUAUUUAUUUAUUUAUUUAUUUAUUUAUUUAUUUAUUUAUUUAUUUAUUUAUUAUAGUCACAGAGAGAGAGAGAGAGAGAGAGAGAGAGAGAGAGAGAGAGAGGCAGAGACACAGGCAGAGGGAGAAGCAGGCUCCAUGCACCGGGAGCCCAACGUGGGAUUUGAUCCCGGGUCUCCAGGAUCGCACCCUGGGCCAAAGGCAGGCGCCAAACCGCUGUGCCACCCAGGGAUCCCGUCACCGGGAUUUUGAUGUCAAAUCUGUAGGUUGCUUCAGGUGGUAUUGACAUUUUAACAAUAUUAAGUUUUCCAACUAUGAACUGUCUUUUCACCCAUUUGUGUCUUUUUAAAUUUCCUUCAGUAAAAUUUUGUAGUUUUCAUUGUUAUACGUCUUUUACCUCUUUGGGUAAAUGUAUUCCUAAGUAUUUUAUUCUUAGGAUAAAUUGGAAAUUAAACUGUUUCCUUAAUUUCCUUUUUGAAUUAUUCAUUGUUAGUGUAUAGAAAUGUAACUGAUCUUUGAAUUUUGCUUUUAUAUCCUGCAGCUGCACUGAAUUCACUUACUAGUUCUAACACGGUAUGUGCAUGUAUGUGUGUUUGUGUGUACAUGUGUAUGGAAUCUUGAGGCUUUUUUAUAUAUAAUAUCAUAUCAUCUGUGGACAGAUGUUAAUUUUACUUCCUUCUUUACAAUCUGGAUACUUUUAUAUCUUUUUCUUGACUAAUUGCUAUGGUUAUGACUUCCAGCCCUAUGUUGAAUAUAAGUGGUGAAAAUGGUCAUCUUUGUUCUUGAUCUUAGAGGAAAUGCUUUUGAUUUUCCACUAUGGUGCUGUGAGCUUUUCAUAAAUUGCCUUCAUUAUGUUGAGGUAGUUUUGUUUUAUUUAUAUUUAUUUUUUUAAAUUUUUUUUGGUAGUUUUGUUUUAUUGAAUGUUCUUAUCAUGAAAGAGUGUUGAGUUUUGUUGAAGGCGUGUUUUGCAUCAAUAUAGAUAAUCACAUGUUUUUUUCCCCUUUAUUCUGUUAAUGUGUUAUAUGAUAUUAACUGAUUUUCAUAUGUUGAUCCAUUCUUGCAUCCCAGGGAUAAAUUCUACUGGGUUCCACUUGGUGAUUAUGUAUAAUCCUUUUAAUGUGCUAUUCAAUUCUGUUUGCUAGCAUUUUGUUGAAGGUUUUUGCAUCUAUAUUCAUCAGGAAUAUUGAUCUGUAGUUUCCUUGUUUAGUGUGCUUGACUUUCAUUGUCAGGGCGGUGCUAGCCUCAUAGAAUAAGUUUGGAACUGUUCUUUCCUCUUCAACUUUUUUGAGUUAAUUUGAGUUUAUAUAAAUUAACUUGAAAUAAUGUCUAUGUUCAGCAAUCAGUUUACAAAAUUCCUGAAAACUUAACAAUUCCUGCUCUUCUGAGCAGGGAUGAAGUAGAUCCAGUGCAUCUUUGAACAUGGUCAUGCCUGAGGUGCCCUAAAGUGCUUAUUUUUGUGUUAACCAAAGUCCUGUGUAGAAAAAGGAAAAGAAACCAAUUUUAAAUGAGAGAUGAGUGACUAAUCUCUUACUUGCUGAAUAAAAAGGUUUUUCCUAAGAGUUCAUAUGCCCAAUAAAAGACAUAUUCAGGAAUGUUUAUUGCAGUUAUAUUUAUAAUGAUUAAAAAAUGAAAACAACUCAAAUCUCCAUCUGCAGUAGAAUCGGUAGGUAGUAUUACACAAUGAAAUACUAACCCAACAGUGAACAUAAAUGAACUCCAGCUACAUGAGACAAUAUGGAUGGACCUUAUACACAUAAUUUUGAGUGAAAGGGGUAAUAUAUACAAAAAAUACACAUUCCAAUUAUAUGAAGUUCAAAAAUAGACAAAACUAAUCCAUGACGUUAGAAUCAGGAUAGUGGUUAUCUCUGGGGAGUUGUUGAUUGGGAGGGACAGUGCACGAGAGAGUUUCUGGUUUACCAGACAUGUUCUGUAUCUUGAUUCGGGUGGUGGUUAUAUGAGUGUGUACAUUUGGAAAAAUUUUGUGCUGUAUAUUUAAGAUUUAUGUGCUUCACUGAAAUCAUGUUAUACUUCAAAAUAAAAAGCUGACUGUCUUCCUUCUUUA
Long non-coding RNA from Nyctereutes procyonoides (raccoon dog), 11373 nucleotides. RefSeq lists it as uncharacterized. The record is from RefSeq and is a predicted model, not a curated record. The transcript has 5 exons. Lineage: Eukaryota; Metazoa; Chordata; Mammalia; Carnivora; Canidae.